RNAcentral lists this ribosomal RNA (253 nucleotides) under Gemmiger formicilis. RNAcentral describes it as "partial 16S ribosomal RNA". It matches the Rfam family "Bacterial small subunit ribosomal RNA", at positions 524 to 776 of the family's 1533-position model. Lineage: Bacteria; Bacillati; Bacillota; Clostridia; Eubacteriales; Oscillospiraceae. The record is from RNAcentral.
AACGUAGGGUGCAAGCGUUGUCCGGAAUUACUGGGUGUAAAGGGAGUGCAGGCGGACCGGCAAGUUGGAAGUGAAAACUAUGGGCUCAACCCAUAAAUUGCUUUCAAAACUGCUGGCCUUGAGUAGUGCAGAGGUAGGUGGAAUUCCCGGUGUAGCGGUGGAAUGCGUAGAUAUCGGGAGGAACACCAGUGGCGAAGGCGACCUACUGGGCACCAACUGACGCUGAGGCUCGAAAGCAUGGGUAGCAAACAGG